RNAcentral lists this long non-coding RNA (1514 nucleotides) under Callithrix jacchus (white-tufted-ear marmoset). RNAcentral's name for it is "lncRNA (ENSCJAG00000058900.2)". Lineage: Eukaryota; Metazoa; Chordata; Mammalia; Primates; Cebidae. The record is from RNAcentral.
GUUGAAUUGGAGGUGGGGCCUGGUGGGAGGAGAUUGGAUCAUGGGGUAGAUCUCCUCCUUGCUGUCAUAUUAGUGAGUUUUCCUGAAAUCUCAUGGUUUAAAAGUGUGUUGCCCUUCCCUCUUCUCUCUCUCUCCUGCUCUGCCAUGGUAAGACAUGCUUGCUUCCCCUUUCUCUUCUGCUAUGAUUGUAAGUUUCUUGAGGCCUCCUAUCCACACUACUGGUACAGCCUGAGGAAUUUUAAGCCCAUUAAACCUCUUUCCUUCAUAAAUUACCCAGUCUCAGGUGGUUCUUUAUAGCAGUGUGAGAAUGGAUGAAUGCACCUGUGAUCUACCUUUUGCAGGAUGAAGACCUAGAUGAGUUCAAAGGCCUGAAGAACCAGGGGCGCCACUGUGUAAAUCUGUUACCAAACCAAACUGGGAUCUGCUCACCCGGUGCUGUAAGGCCCAACAUCUACAUGAAAGUUUGCAGAGGGAGAAAGGAGGGGCCCAAGCGUGAAGAAUUGGGCAGCUUAUGCUUGAGACAUGACCCCCCUGAUGGCUUACCUCCAUUUCCUGAGCCAUGAAUUGAUGCUAAGGAUACCGAUUCACAGUGGAGUUGAGAGGAUUAAUGAGACCAUGUAGGUAAAAUUGCUUGGCAUGCUGUAAAUAGUGGGCACUCAAGGAACUCACCCCCUACUUCUGCUCUUUACUCUGCUCUUCUCUCUUUUUUUUUUUUUUUUUUUUUUUUUUGCUUUUCCUCUCUCCAUUCUUCUUUCCCCCAAUCCAUCAAAAUUUCCUAAAGUACCACCAGAGGGCACAACCUAGACAUCAACCUUGUAUAAUGGAUUCCGUGCAGCUUAUGGAGUCCUCAGAGAUGAUUCCCAAGUUAUCCUGGAGUGUGGUAAAAAGUCUUUUGGCCGGAAAUUCUGCUGUUCUUCUGAAUAGAUUAAGUAUGUGCAACACUAUAUGGCAUCAGUUUAUUUAUGCCAAUUUGUUUAAUCUAAAAUCCAACAUGUAUAAUGUAGCUAGGUUGGAGCAGUCCGUCAUUUUUCUACUCAUUUCUUCUAUUUUACACUCAUUGUGAUGUGCAUAAACUCUUGCUCUCUAGUCAUAAUUAUCACACUAUUCCUGUGUGUGCACGUGCAUGUGCAUGUGUUAGUCUUUGGAAUAAACUAGUAAAUUAAUAGGUUUUUUUUUGAGAUGGAGUCUCACUGUGUUGUCCAGGCUGGAGUGCAAUGCAAUAGCGUGAUCUGAGCUCACUGCAACCUCUGCCUCCCAGGUCAAGUUUUUCUCCUGCAUCAGCCUCCCAAGUAACUGGGAUUACAGGCAUGAGCCACCAUGCCUGGCUAAUGUUUGUUUGUUUGUUUGUUUUUUGAGAUGAAGUUUUGCUCUUGUUGCCCAGGCUGGAGUGCAAUGGCGCAAUCUCAGCUCACCAGCCACUCUGUCUCCUGGGUUCAAGUGAUUCUCCUGUCUCGGCCUCCCAAGUACCUGGGAUUACAUGGACGCGUCACCACAUCUGGCUAAUUUUGUAUUUU